This 479-nucleotide ribosomal RNA is filed under the name uncultured organism. RNAcentral describes it as "partial 16S ribosomal RNA". It matches the Rfam family "Bacterial small subunit ribosomal RNA", at positions 330 to 800 of the family's 1533-position model. The record is from RNAcentral.
ACGUAACUCCUACGGGAGGCAGCAGUGGGGAAUUUUGGACAAUGGGCGAAAGCCUGAUCCAGCAAUGCCGCGUGAGUGAAGAAGGCCUUCGGGUUGUAAAGCUCUUUUGUCAGGGAAGAAACGGUGAAAGCUAAUAUCUUUUGCUAAUGACGGUACCUGAAGAAUAAGCACCGGCUAACUACGUGCCAGCAGCCGCGGUAAUACGUAGGGUGCAAGCGUUGAUCGGAAUUACUGGGCGUAAAGCGUGCGCAGGCGGUUUUGUAAGUCUGAUGUGAAAUCCCCGGGCUCAACCUGGGAAUUGCAUUGGAGACUGCAAGGCUAGAAUCUGGCAGAGGGGGGUAGAAUUCCACGUGUAGCAGUGAAAUGCGUAGAUAUGUGGAGGAACACCGAUGGCGAAGGCAGCCCCCUGGGUCAAGAUUGACGCUCAUGCACGAAAGCGUGGGGAGCAAACAGGAUUAGAUACCCCAGUAGUCCCAUGA